Molecule: long non-coding RNA, 219 nt
Filed under: Fukomys damarensis (Damara mole-rat)
Lineage: Eukaryota; Metazoa; Chordata; Mammalia; Rodentia; Bathyergidae
Description: lncRNA (ENSFDAG00000027290.1)
Source: RNAcentral
UGACAAAGGCUCUCAUCUCACUAUGCAGCUGACCAGAACCCGCUGUCCUCCUACCAAAGGUUCCCAAGAGCAGCUGGUACCUGUUUUUCAAAAGAAAGUAUUUAUAGAACGACAUGGCACAAUGUGACAGCUCCUUUACUCUGAGAAAAUGUGACAGGAUUUCUUAUGGAAAUGACAGAGAAUGAAGCUUCACCAUUGAUGUUUAAUAAAAAGGAAAAG